RNAcentral lists this ribosomal RNA (766 nucleotides) under uncultured bacterium. Its description in RNAcentral is "bacterial SSU rRNA". It matches the Rfam family "Bacterial small subunit ribosomal RNA", at positions 46 to 810 of the family's 1533-position model. The record is from RNAcentral.
GCUUAACACAUGCAAGUCGAACGAAGCAUUUAAGACAGAUUACUUCGGUUUGAAGCCUUUUAUGACUGAGUGGCGGACGGGUGAGUAACGCGUGGGUAACCUGCCUCAUACAGGGGGAUAGCAGCUGGAAACGGCUGGUAAUACCGCAUAAGCGCACAGUACCACAUGGUACAGUGUGAAAACCUCCGGUGGUAUGAGAUGGACCCGCGUCUGAUUAGCUUGUUGGCGGGGUAACGGCCCACCAAGGCGACGAUCAGUAGCCGACCUGAGAGGGUGACCGGCCACAUUGGGACUGAGACACGGCCCAGACUCCUACGGGAGGCAGCAGUGGGGAAUAUUGCACAAUGGAGGAAACUCUGAUGCAGCGACGCCGCGUGAGUGAAGAAGUAGUUCGCUAUGUAAAGCUCUAUCAGCAGGGAAGACAGUGACGGUACCUGACUAAGAAGCUCCGGCUAAAUACGUGCCAGCAGCCGCAGUAAUACGUAUGGAGCAAGCGUUAUCCGGAUUUACUGGGUGUAAAGGGAGUGUAGGUGGCCAGGCAAGUCAGAAGUGAAAGCCCGGGGCUCAACCCUGGGACUGCUUUUGAAACUGCAGGGCUAGAGUGCAGGAGGGGCAAGUGGAAUUCCUAGUGUAGCGGUGAAAUGCGUAGAUAUUAGGAGGAACACCAGUGGCGAAGGCGGCUUGCUGGACUGUAACUGACACUGAGGCUCGAAAGCGUGGGGAGCAAACAGGAUUAGAUACCCUGGUAGUCCACGCCGUAAACGAU